Long non-coding RNA from Bufo gargarizans (Asiatic toad), 337 nucleotides. RefSeq lists it as uncharacterized. NCBI's taxonomy places the organism in Eukaryota, Metazoa, Chordata, Amphibia, Anura, Bufonidae. The record is from RefSeq and is a predicted model, not a curated record. The transcript is spliced from 3 exons.
UUAUCUUAUAGUCCGCCUCCAACCGCUAAUGGAGGUUUAAUUGUACAUAUAAAUUCAUUUCUAAAAGGGACCAAAGACGAUGUAUCCUCUCCAGAUGGAUUAACUCCACAGAAUGCCGCACGAUACCUCUCCAAAAAAUCGCACAUGUGUAAGGGAAGAUGGAACCCAAACUGCCCCUGGACAAAACAAACCAAAGCUUUGCACCUGCCGCAAGCAUAGGAGCCGCCUUUCAUUUCAUCCCUCUUUCCCACCACCUCAGAUAUCUGUUUUGAGCAUCCCAUCCUCACCCACCAGAAUGUGAAGAUCCAGAAAGUCCAGCUCUCUUGCAGCCUGAAAG